This is a long non-coding RNA of Acinonyx jubatus (cheetah), 3369 nucleotides long. RefSeq lists it as uncharacterized. The transcript is spliced from 6 exons. NCBI's taxonomy places the organism in Eukaryota, Metazoa, Chordata, Mammalia, Carnivora, Felidae. The record is from RefSeq and is a predicted model, not a curated record.
AAGAAUGGGUGAGGGUGGGUCCCCAGAGGAAAAUGAGGGGCUGCUGCUAGUCAAAGCGGGCCUGAGCAUGGACAGGCACAAACCAGACAGCUCUGCGGGUGCCUGCGGGCCCACACAGGGCGCCAGGGGGGCCAGGCGGGCAGGGACAAAGCUUCAGGCAGACUACCUUCCUGUGUAUCUGGUUUGUAGAUUCGGCCCGCUGUCAGAUUGUGUUUGGGGAGCAGCUGCUGCUGCUAAGUGAGUUUGGACAUUCUUGUUGUGGACAAAGGGAGGCAUAUCCAGAGACGAGGCUGAGGGUGUGUCCCCACUGCAAGGAGACUCAGGACAUGAGCACUCCUAGAAUGAGCAUUUAUUGGGCAUCUCCUGUGGGCCGGACCUGGGAUUACAGCAGGAACGAGACAAAGACCUCUCCCUGGGGCUCACGUUCAAAUUAGGCAGAUGGCAACACGAGAGUAAGUCCAUACUGUGCUGGGUCAUGUUGCAGUCACACAGGAAACGGCACAGGAAAAUGUCAUAGAGCAAUAGGGGUUAGGGGACACUUGGAUGGCCAGGGAGGGUCUCUGUGGGGAAGUGACAUUUGAGCUGAGAUCCUGGAGAAGGAAGCCCAGGAAAGGAGCACCCUGGCAGAGGGAAUAGCACGUGUAAAGGCUCCAACACGGGACGGCGUUUUGUAUAUUUGAGAAACAGACGGCAUCAGCUUCGGAGCCCAGUCAGGAAGGGGGAGAGCAGACGAGGGCGAGGAAGGGGUACGUGCCGCAGGCUGUACGGGCCCCAUCAAGGAGGUCUGAGCACUGGUCCCACACAGAGAGGAGGUACCAAGAGGUGGCAAGCUGGCUGUAUGAGGCCAGAGCGAGGCCUGGCUCAAGGGUGUAGCUGUGACCGCUAUCGGAAGGGAGUUUCAAUUCCAGCUCACUUCGAGAGAAGACUUUUCCAUCAGUCAGUGGCAUCCUACUGCGGAAUGGAUGGCCUGGAGGUGGUGAGCUCUCUGUCCCCAGAGGUAUGCAACCAAGAAACAGUGGCAGAACAGGCUAGAAAGCUGGGAGUGGAUGACUCUGUGAGAUCAGCAGAGAAAUACAGAACCAAACACGAUAAUAACGCUUAACAAAGUUUACGGUGGCAAAGGGCCACUUAGAACAUUUUAGCGGCAGCCUGCUGUGAUCAGAGCAAUCUCUGGAAAUGAUUUAUUUACAUAUAAAAAUGAGACAUUUCUCAACAACCUCGAGACAGCCCCUGGGGCGAGGCUCUCAUUGGACAGCGCCUCCCCCGGGUCCGGGCUGCUCAGCCCCCGGUCGCCUCCAGCCUCGGCAGGGGGCUGAUUGCCUCUCUGAGGGGAGGCGGGCGGCUGCAGCCCGCCCUGCCAGCAUUCCGGAGAGUUCCUUCUCCAAAAUAAACCUCGCCUAAGCAUUUAAAUGUGCGGCUGAGCAUGAAGUACAGUCAACAAUUUUAUUCCAAGAAUGCAAAUGAAUCCCUGAGGGGCCAGGAAGAGGCGGAAUGCCCUGGCCCAGAAGCUUUUUUUUUUUUUAAGAGUGUGAGUAGGACACAGCAAAUUCCACCGCCUCGAGCCAGAAUUGGGGAAACUGAGGCUGGGGCAUCAGCUCAAGGUCGCAGAGCCGGGAAAAGGCAGAGUGGGCUGGAACGUGGCUGCCAGAUGCUUUCCACCCCGCAUAGAACCACCCCACCAGGGUGCUAUUCCUGUGCACAGAGCACGCUCCCCGAUGUAGGCCAGUAGCCCCGGAAGGACAGAUGUGUGAGAUGGAGAUCCAAAGACGCUUCGGAAGGCUGCUGAACACAAACACGCUCGCGUUGGCCCUCUGCUGGCAGCAGCUGGCUUGCCUUCGGGAAUCUCCCUCCGCACACUCCAAGGUGUGUUCCAGCUGACCCCCCCUUUGCUGUGAUGGCUCAAAUCCCAAGUCCUCCACUCACCAGCUCUAAGACACCGGAUGAGACAUUUAACCUCUUCUUGUCCUGAUUUCCUCCUCUGUAAAAUGGGGAGCACGCUGGGACCUGCUUCAGAGCGGUUACGAGUUUGAAAUGAGUUCAGAUACAGAAAACACUUGGAACAGCGCCUGCAUGCUCCAGGAAAGGAAUUCACAUAAAGUAGACACCUUAGGAAAUGAGCAUUGGAGUGACACUCAAAGAACCCCGAGACAGGGAGACGUGGAAAACAGAUGUGCAUUUGGAGGUGAAAGAAGCUGAAAAAUCGUUGCUGGCAGUGCUGUUCCUGGAAGGGAGACGAAGGCGGGAAGACACAUUUGGGUUACAGGAAGAGGCGGCCCCUCAUGCAGCCUCUUUAGUCUAUAAGGGCCCAGGGCUCUGCACUGAAAGCACUAAUUGGAUUCCAUUAAAGCGAAAUAGAUUUCCUAGCACUGGAAGAGCCAGUUCAUUAAUUUCACACAUGCUCUACUGGAGGAAGGCAUGGGGAAGGGCAGCCAGCCCCAGUCUCCCCAGGCUAAGAUCAGAGCUGGGAGCCCGCUGCAGUUUGGUGCAGAGCCUGGAUUCUGAGCACCUGCUCCAUGCCAGUGCCUGGGCUGGCCAUCGGGGGUGCAGUGAUGAACCAGAUACAACCACCACCUCCGGUAACUCGGUCUUGGAGGAGGCAGCCACACAAGGCAGGGCGUGCACAGUGACAGGGUGCUGGACCAGGAUGUGUUCCAGGUACUGGACAUCCUGUGGAGCAGACCGACCUGGUGCUGGAGCUGAGAAGAGUGGUCUGGGCUGGAAUUUUAAAUUGGGGACGUUUGAACAUAUAAAAGGUGGUCAAUGCCCAGGUCCGGAUGACGUCACCAGGGGAGAGAGUAGGAGGGGCGGGGUCAUCUUAGUUCUUUCUUCCUCUCAGCAAGAAUUCCUUCCACACCUUCCACUGACAGGUGGCUCCCCAGCCCCUGCUUGCACGCUCCAAUGACAGGGAGCUCACUACCAGCCACGCCAGUCCUGCCUGCUUUUGGAAGUCCUGGCUGUUAGUUAAAUUCUUUUGUAUGCGGGCCAAAGUCUCCCUUCCCUUUUGAUUUUACUCCUUUGUUCUGAUUCCAUCUUCUGGAGACCCGGCCCGUCCAGUCGGCUCCCUCUUUGCCAUGAUCUGCUAGAACCCACAGAUGUGGUUCACCACACCUUCCUUCUUCUCCGAUAGUGGGGCCCUGGGUUUCUUCUGAGGGUACCGCACCGUCCCCACUGCCGUCUCCCAUCCCAGGAAGCGACAAAGUCUUGUUUUAACGUCUGAACCGUGGCCUUAGAGACCAGAAGGAGAGGGGACACUUAAAACUAAGAGACUUCCCUUCUGUGUCUUUAUUAAACACACCCAGUUCCUUCUGCUACUCUUAGCUGCCUCAGUGGCUACCCCAGAUAUUUUUGUCUCUGGGUUGGGGUCUUCAC